This 598-nucleotide ribosomal RNA is filed under the name uncultured bacterium. RNAcentral's name for it is "bacterial SSU rRNA". It matches the Rfam family "Bacterial small subunit ribosomal RNA", at positions 331 to 929 of the family's 1533-position model. The record is from RNAcentral.
CCAGACUCCUACGGGAGGCAGCAGUGAGGAAUAUUGGACAAUGGUCGGAAGACUGAUCCAGCCAUGCCGCGUGCAGGAUGACGGCCUUAUGGGUUGUAAACUGCUUUUGUAAGGGAAGAAUAAGAGCUACGCGUAGUUUGAUGACGGUACCUUACGAAUAAGCAUCGGCUAACUCCGUGCCAGCAGCCGCGGUAAUACGGAGGAUGCGAGCGUUAUCCGGAAUCAUUGGGUUUAAAGGGUCCGUAGGCGGGCUAAUAAGUCAGGGGUGAAAUCGUUCAGCUCAACUGAGCAACUGCCUUUGAAACUGUUAGUCUUGAAUAGUUGUGAAGUAGUUGGAAUGUGUAGUGUAGCGGUGAAAUGCUUAGAGAUUACACAGAACACCGAUAGCGAAGGCAUAUUACUAACAAUUGAUUGACGCUGAUGGACGAAAGCGUGGGGAGCGAACAGGAUUAGAUACCCUGGUAGUCCACGCUGUAAACGAUGGAUACUAGCUGUUUGGACGCGAGUUUGAGUGGCUAAGCGAAAGUGAUAAGUAUCCCACCUGGGGAGUACGUUCGCAAGAAUGAAACUCAAAGGAAUUGACGGGGGCCCGCACAAG